GUACGCGCGGAUCUUCCAGAGAUUAGAGUUUGAUCCUGGCUCAGGACGAACGCUGGCGGCGUGCCUAACACAUGCAAGUCGAGCGGAGGCAUAUAAGGAGUAAUCUGAGUGUGCCUGAGCGGCGGACGGGUGAGUAACGCGUGAGCAACCUGCCUUCCACAGGGGGAUAACGUACCGAAAGGUACACUAAUACCGCAUGAGACCACGGUACCGAUGGUAGUGGGGUCAAAGGAGCAAUCCGGUGGGAGAUGGGCUCGCGUCCGAUUAGGUAGUUGGCGGGGUAACGGCCCACCAAGCCUAUGAUCGGUAGCCGGCCUGAGAGGGUGAACGGCCACAUUGGAACUGAGAGACGGUCCAAACUCCUACGGGAGGCAGCAGUGGGGAAUAUUGGGCAAUGGGGGAAACCCUGACCCAGCAACGCCGCGUGAGGGAAGAAGGUUUUCGGAUUGUAAACCUCUGUUCUUGGAGAAGAGUGGAAGACGGUAUCCAAGGAGGAAGCCCCGGCUAACUACGUGCCAGCAGCCGCGGUAAUACGUAGGGGGCGAGCGUUGUCCGGAAUGAUUGGGCGUAAAGGGCGCGCAGGCGGCCAUUCAAGUCAGUAGUGGAAGUCCAUUUUUCAAGGGUGGAAGUGCUAUUGAAACUGUAUGGCUUGAGUGCGGGAGAGGUUAUCGGAAUUCCCGGUGUAGCGGUGA
RNAcentral lists this ribosomal RNA (692 nucleotides) under uncultured bacterium. RNAcentral's name for it is "bacterial SSU rRNA". It matches the Rfam family "Bacterial small subunit ribosomal RNA", at positions 1 to 684 of the family's 1533-position model. The record is from RNAcentral.